UAAUUCUCCAUAUUUUUGUCAUGAUCUAUGGUCAUGGUGUAAAAUGACGUUUGUCGCCAUUUUAUUAUGAUUUAACAAUUUUACUUGCUUUUUGGUGCUUAUUUUUAGAUUAUCGAACAAAUGACUUCAGUUUGGCGCUACUCGAGCAACCGUCUACACGGGUGUGGUCUUUUCUCGACUUCGUUCGUGAUUUGAUAUUUUCAUCUUCACUUCGCAACACUAUGCAGUUGAUUUUCGGCCGAUUAGUGGGAGCAACUAAAGAUUUAUUUGAUUUCAAGUGGAACAACAAAAUUUCUGCUAUGGUGUUCCUGCUGGAGUUGGUUUGCUUUCCACACCUGCAAACUUUGGAACAUUACGAUCUACAGUUAAUUAAGAAGAGAUUGGAUGCAUGGAUUAUAUUCUUGAUUUGCUGUU
Long non-coding RNA from Agrilus planipennis (emerald ash borer), 414 nucleotides. RefSeq lists it as uncharacterized. The record is from RefSeq and is a predicted model, not a curated record. NCBI's taxonomy places the organism in Eukaryota, Metazoa, Arthropoda, Insecta, Coleoptera, Buprestidae. The transcript has 3 exons.